RNAcentral lists this unclassified non-coding RNA (279 nucleotides) under plant metagenome. RNAcentral describes it as "partial contains small subunit ribosomal RNA, internal transcribed spacer 1, and 5.8S ribosomal RNA". The record is from RNAcentral.
UUUCCGUAGGUGAACCUGCGGAAGGAUCAUUAUUGAAUAACCGAGGUUCGAGCUCUCUCUCUUACCCGAGAGGUCGUGCACGCCCGAGUGCCCUCACACACAUCCAUCUCACCCCUAUAUUCACCACCGCGUAGGUGCCGCUGUUGCUUGUUCUUAGGGUACCUUACGUUUUCACACAAACUUUUUUUUAAAUGUAGAAUAUAACUUUUUUUUUUGCUAUAACACAAUAAAUAUAACUUUCAACAACGGAUCUGAUCGCUCCAGCAUCGAUGAAGACCC